AGAGUUUGAUCAUGGCUCAGAUUGAACGCUGGCGGCAGGCCUAACACAUGCAAGUCGAGCGGUAACAGAAAGUAGCUUGCUACUUUGCUGACGAGCGGCGGACGGGUGAGUAAUGCUUGGGAACAUGCCUUGAGGUGGGGGACAACAGUUGGAAACGACUGCUAAUACCGCAUAAUGUCUACGGACCAAAGGGGGCUUCGGCUCUCGCCUUUAGAUUGGCCCAAGUGGGAUUAGCUAGUUGGUGAGGUAAUGGCUCACCAAGGCAACGAUCCCUAGCUGGUUUGAGAGGAUGAUCAGCCACACUGGAACUGAGACACGGUCCAGACUCCUACGGGAGGCAGCAGUGGGGAAUAUUGCACAAUGGGCGAAAGCCUGAUGCAGCCAUGCCGCGUGUGUGAAGAAGGCCUUCGGGUUGUAAAGCACUUUCAGUCAGGAGGAAAGGGUGUGAGUUAAUACCUCACGUCUGUGACGUUACUGACAGAAGAAGCACCGGCUAACUCCGUGCCAGCAGCCGCGGUAAUACGGAGGGUGCGAGCGUUAAUCGGAAUUACUGGGCGUAAAGCGUACGCAGGCGGUUUGUUAAGCGAGAUGUGAAAGCCCCGGGCUCAACCUGGGAACUGCAUUUCGAACUGGCAAACUAGAGUGUGAUAGAGGGUGGUAGAAUUUCAGGUGUAGCGGUGAAAUGCGUAGAGAUCUGAAGGAAUACCGAUGGCGAAGGCAGCCACCUGGGUCAACACUGACGCUCAUGUACGAAAGCGUGGGGAGCAAACGGGAUUAGAUACCCCGGUAGUCCACGCCGUAAACGAUGUCUACUAGAAGCUCGGAACCUCGGUUCUGUUUUUCAAAGCUAACGCAUUAAGUAGACCGCCUGGGGAGUACGGCCGCAAGGUUAAAACUCAAAUGAAUUGACGGGGGCCCGCACAAGCGGUGGAGCAUGUGGUUUAAUUCGAUGCAACGCG
This 959-nucleotide ribosomal RNA is filed under the name uncultured bacterium. Its description in RNAcentral is "bacterial SSU rRNA". It matches the Rfam family "Bacterial small subunit ribosomal RNA", at positions 8 to 963 of the family's 1533-position model. The record is from RNAcentral.